This 456-nucleotide RNase P RNA is filed under the name Deltaproteobacteria bacterium. Its description in RNAcentral is "RNase P RNA component class A". It matches the Rfam family "Bacterial RNase P class A". Rfam says of the family: Ribonuclease P (RNase P) is a ubiquitous endoribonuclease, found in archaea, bacteria and eukarya as well as chloroplasts and mitochondria. Its best characterised activity is the generation of mature 5'-ends of tRNAs by cleaving the 5'-leader elements of precursor-tRNAs. The record is from RNAcentral. Lineage: Bacteria; Pseudomonadati; Myxococcota; Myxococcia.
GGAGGUGGACGGAGGAUCGCCGGCGGACAACGACCGUCCGCGGGAGGAAAGUCCGGGCUCCGCAGGGUGGGGAAGUCGUUAACAGCGACCCGGGGCGACCCGAGGGAAAGCGCAACAGAAAUCACACCGCCGAUGGCGCGCAACUGCAGGUUCGAAAGAGCUUGCGGUUCGGGUUGGCGCUUUGCGCCAGCCCCGCACAGGUAAGGUUGAAAUCGUGGGGUAAGAGCCCACGCGCGACAGCCGGGUGACCGGCGGCGAGGCAAGCCCUUCCCGGAGCAAGCUCGAAUAGGGAUACCCUGGAGGAUGACCCGUCCGAUCGAAUCGGUUCGCCGGUUCGGGGUAUCCGGGUGAGAGUGCUCGAGCGGUACGGCAACGUAUCGCCUAGACGAAUGAUCCUCGCUGCGAGGGCGAGAGCCCGAAGCAGGACAGGACCCGGCUUACAGUCCACUGCUGGCC